GACAGAGGUGCCAAGCGUUAGGCGGAAUCACUGGGCUUAAAGCGUGUGUAGGCGGACUUGUAAGUACCUUGUGAAAUCCCACGGCUCAACCUGUGGAACUGCUUGGUAUACUGCUUGUCUUGAGCCACUUAGGGGCUACCGGAACAAAUGGUGGAGCGGUGAAAUGCGUAGAUAUCAUUUGGAACGCCAAUGGUGAAAACAGGUAGCUGGGAGUGUGCUGACGCUGAGACACGAAAGCCAGGGGAGCGAACGGG
RNAcentral lists this ribosomal RNA (254 nucleotides) under uncultured bacterium. RNAcentral's name for it is "partial 16S ribosomal RNA". It matches the Rfam family "Bacterial small subunit ribosomal RNA", at positions 524 to 776 of the family's 1533-position model. The record is from RNAcentral.